UACGUAGGGAGCAAGCGUUGUCCGGAAUCAUUGGGCGUAAAGCGCACGUAGGCGGUCUGUUAUGUCGGAUGUGAAAGCCCUUGGCUUAACUGAGGAAGUGCAUCCGAAACUGGCAGGCUAGAGUACUAAAGAGGGUCGCGGAAUUCCCGGUGUAGAGGUGAAAUUCGUAGAUAUCGGGAGGAACACCGGUGGCGAAGGCGGCGACCUGGGUAGAUACUGACGCUGAGGUGCGAAAGCGUGGGGAGCAAACAGG
RNAcentral lists this ribosomal RNA (253 nucleotides) under uncultured bacterium. Its description in RNAcentral is "partial 16S ribosomal RNA". It matches the Rfam family "Bacterial small subunit ribosomal RNA", at positions 524 to 776 of the family's 1533-position model. The record is from RNAcentral.